CACAAAUUUACCUUUCCCCUCAAGGGCGCAAUGCUGAGCACUAUAUCACUGGGCUUUCUGGAGUCACUCCAUUAAAAUAAUCCCCUGUCAGCGUCAAACCCCUUCCGGACCUGUUAUAGGAGUUUAAGGGCACAGAGUUUUUCUUUCCAGCAAUGUUAUGAGAAAUUAUUUGUUUGCACUGAGGGAAACACUUCUUCUGGUGCCUGGCUGAAACCAAAGGCUGUUAUUAUUUCCACAGAUGCGAUCAUCGACUCAUCAUAUUCUGCUACGGUCCCUUUGACAGCCUGAUAAAAUUGGAGACUGUUCCUGUAGCCUUGCACCGAGGCUUCAGGAAGGGAGCAGAGAAGCGGACAAAUUGGACCCAUCAUUUUUCAAGCAUGCAGUGACAUCCCCGUCGACCAAUUUCACUUCAAUAGCCUCUCUCAGGGAUCAUUGAUAUCUGCAUUAGAGACCUUUGUUAAAGGUCUCAUCUAAAUGCAUUGAAAAAUGCCUCGCUCUCCUGUGUACUUCCAGCUGAAAAGGCGAGGGGGGUCUGGCUGUGUGUACUCACUGAGAUUUGCCGACUUGGCUCUGUCUACAUUAAGGUUUGUUUGCAGCCAGACAAUGUAGUGUCCCUGAACUCUAGAGAAAACUACAGGAGAAAAACAACUACUGCAGAAGCAAAUGGCAGGGUUUCUGGAGGGACAUUUGCACAGUGAGUUCUUAUUGGAACAUAUGACUAGUCCUCCAUCAUGUCUAUGGCACUGGUCCAUCAAUCUCAGUUUCACUUGAAUGUUCACUAUUUCGUUGUUAGAAAAAAACAGAGAAAGUAAAUCUUCAGCUCUCUGCAAUAAAGUCUAAACUAGGCAAUUGGAUGGGGAGUACAAUUUUUGCCCUUCAGCUAAGUCUUAAUUCUUAUCACUCUUAAACUUACAGUAGAACAAAACGCAAUAGAUGUAGUCAUCACCUGUGCACUGGAUUGGUGUCACUGCUGAUCUUCGCUUUCAAUGCAACAAGCUUAAAUUUCCACGUUAAUCAAAGGUCUCGUGGCGAGUAUCCCUCAACCUUUUGAAUCAAAGACACACAGUUGUCCCCAAUAAUAGCCCAUAAAUUUUUCAUCUGUGUGUGAUUAACUGGAUAACGACUAAGAAUGAGGAUUUAUACAUAUAUAAUAUUUUAGAGAACUUUAGAGAAAUGCCCAUUGAGGUAUUAUGUAUUUGUAUUUUGUUUGUGUGCAAUUUUUAGUACAAAUGUUUUCUAAAUCACCCUGUGAAAUGUCUCAACUUUUACCGGACGACAACUGCCAGACCCUACUGCCAUGCACAAACCUAUAUCUUUAAUAUGACACCGAACUCUGGAAUCGCUCUGAAUGAAAAAUCAGCCCAAGGGGGUCAGCGACAGAAAGAAAUAGGGUUUCAGAUCGGGUCAAGCAAAGCAUACAACACUCCAUACAGAAGUACGGGCAAGGCUUUCGUCUAUUUUCAACCCAUCGUUAUUCCUCAUAAAUUCCAAACUAGCCUCUGACAGCAUGACUGAUGAGCCUGCUAUUGUGAAUGUCAAGAGAAAGGGUCUCUCAAUCUAUACUAUAUCGCUGUUUCUCAUUGUGUAUGAGACUUAAGGUUUAUGGAGGAAUAUGGCCAUUUUGAUGAGCAUUACUCGCUGGGUACCAAGGGCACACUGAUCUUCUGUCAGAUGAGAUAAGAGCCAAGGUACAAUUCUUAUACCCCUGCUUUAGUCUUAUUCACAACAGAUUCAAAUGUCCAAAAUAUCAUUAUAUUUGAUGCACUAGUUUACAGUAAAAAUGGAAUUUAUAUUGAGGGCCAGGUUUAAUACUUUUAUGUCUUUCCUAAUUUUACAACAGGAUUUUAUAUAGAAUAGAAUUAUUAGCAUAGGAC
Long non-coding RNA from Cyprinus carpio carpio, 1874 nucleotides. The record is from Ensembl. Lineage: Eukaryota; Metazoa; Chordata; Actinopteri; Cypriniformes; Cyprinidae.